UACGUAGGGCGCAAGCGUUGUCCGGAAUUAUUGGGCGUAAAGAGCUCGUAGGCGGUCUGUCGCGUCCGUUGUAGAAACUCGAGGCUCAACCUCGGGCUUGCAGUGGAUACGGGCAGACUAGAGUGCGGUAGGGGAGACUGGAAUUCCUGGUGUAGCGGUGGAAUGCGCAGAUAUCAGGAGGAACACCGGUGGCGAAGGCGGGUCUCUGGGCCGAUACUGACGCUGAGGAGCGAAAGCGUGGGAGCAAACGGG
This 252-nucleotide ribosomal RNA is filed under the name uncultured bacterium. Its description in RNAcentral is "partial 16S ribosomal RNA". It matches the Rfam family "Bacterial small subunit ribosomal RNA", at positions 524 to 776 of the family's 1533-position model. The record is from RNAcentral.